GAGUUGGCCAGGUAGUCGCUGCUUCAUUGAUGUCCUUUGGGAGACUGAUGAAGGGGAGGAAAGUCCGGGCUCCAUAGGGCAGAGUGCCAGGUAACGCCUGGGGGGCGAAAGCCUACGACAAGUGCAGCAGAGAGCAAACCGCCGAUGGCCUUUGGGCACAGGUAAGGGUGAAAGGGUGCGGUAAGAGCGCACCGCGCGUCUAGUAAUAGUUCGUGGCAUGGUAAACUCCACUCGGAGCAAGACCAAAUAGGUUCCUAAUGGCGCGGCCCGCGUUGGGAACGGGUAGGUUGCUUGAGCCUGUGAGCGAUUGCAGGCCUAGAUGAAUGACUAUCACCGUGUAAGCGGUACAAAACCCGGCUUAUCGGCCGACUCC
RNAcentral lists this RNase P RNA (373 nucleotides) under fish gut metagenome. RNAcentral describes it as "Bacterial RNase P class A". It matches the Rfam family "Bacterial RNase P class A". Rfam says of the family: Ribonuclease P (RNase P) is a ubiquitous endoribonuclease, found in archaea, bacteria and eukarya as well as chloroplasts and mitochondria. Its best characterised activity is the generation of mature 5'-ends of tRNAs by cleaving the 5'-leader elements of precursor-tRNAs. The record is from RNAcentral.